GCAAACUUGGUCAUUUAGAGGAAGUAAAAGUCGUAACAAGGUUUCCGUAGGUGAACCUGCGGAAGGAUCAUUACUGAAUAAAAUCCGGCUGGGUUGUCGCUGCCCUCUGUGGGGAAUGUGCACACCUUGCCGUUGGUUUCAUCUCCUCUUCACCUGUGCACCUCCUUGUAGACCGGAUCACCGUUUCGAUCCGCAAGCCAUGGUGUGAAGGUUGGCAGGCCUUUUUCACUGGAGGCCAGUUUGGAUGUUUUUGAGGGUCUGCCGCAGUUCCACCGCACACUUGUGGUGGAUGGCCGAUGGCUUUCCCUGGGCACAUCCGGUCUAUGCCCUUUUAUCAUACCCCCUUCCUACAUGUUUGUUGUUUCUCUCAUUUAAUAAAUACCUACAACUUUCGACAAUGGAUCUCUUGGCUCUCGCAUCGAUGAAGAACGCAGC
This 435-nucleotide unclassified non-coding RNA is filed under the name uncultured fungus. Its description in RNAcentral is "partial contains small subunit ribosomal RNA, internal transcribed spacer 1, and 5.8S ribosomal RNA". The stretch from base 1 to 73 matches the Rfam family "Eukaryotic small subunit ribosomal RNA", at positions 1759 to 1831 of the family's 1831-position model. The record is from RNAcentral. Lineage: Eukaryota; Fungi.